GGCUCAAAUACACUCAACAAAAAUAUAAACACAAAAAGAGUGUCCUUUUAUGGUGGCCAAUCUAAGGCACACCUGUGCACUAAUCAUGGUGUCUAAUCAGCAUCUUGAUAUGGCACACCUGUGAGGUGGGAUGGAUUAUCUCAGCAAAGGAGAAGUGCUCACUGUCACAGAUUUAGACAGAUUUGUGAACAAUAUUUGAGAGAAAUGAUGAUAUUGUGUAUGUGGAAAAAGUUUCAGAUCUUUGAGUUCAUCUCAUAAAAAAUGGGAGCAAAAACAAAAGUAUUGCGUUUGUAUUUUUGUUGAGUAUUUAUAUUAAUGUUAUCAUCUCUACUAUUGCUUAGGAAUCAAUAUCUGCUAAAUGCUCCACGAUGUGGCCUUUUGCUAACUUUUGCUCACACUUCUGGUUCUCGGUUUUGAAUUUUCAGAGAUUUUGUCUUGAGAAACCCGCCUGCUGCUGCUGAAAGUUCCCUAAAGCUGUAAAUGUUUCACUGAUGAAGCCGAAACAAUGAGCUGACAGAUUAUCUAAAACUUUGCAGUUGUGUUUUUAGACUCCAGAGUUACUUUUAAGAGGGAAAUGCUUCAACAGAUUGGCUGGGACUGCUCGAAAAAAAAGUAUUUUUCACAAAUUCCUGCCUUCGCAUGUGUCUGCCUGCUUAUUAAAAUGAGAGAAUUUGGUUUCAUCAAAAAUUAAUUCAGCACUUUAACAGUCAAGGAAACUCUAGAACAGUGUUUUAUCCUUGCUGGUCUCCUCCUCGGGCCCUCCACUGCUCUCUGUCUUCAGACUCAUCCUCUAUUGAAUCACUUUAAACCAAAAAAACAAUAUUUCAUUGCUCUCUAGACUUCUGGAGCGUUUGCUUAAUGAACUGGAUCUAAAAAGUACAUGUAGUUCCUCUGUUUCUGACCCUUGAAAUGCAAAACACCAGAUUGUUUGACACCGUCCAGGCAGCUCCAGAUGUUAGACUUUCACUCUGACAGAAAGAGUCACGUCGUCCCGUUGUGAAGUUGUUUCCAUUCGCUCGUCUUUCUGGUGGGAGAUAUCGAGGCUUUUAUUUCCCCCUGCCUUCGAUGACCUCCACUCUCUAUUCUUUACUUUGAAUCAAAAGCCUCUUUGAAAAGCAGGAAACAGAAAAAAAAAAAAACACCAAAAAACUCCAACCUGCCACCCGCAGCUCUGACAUCACUUCACUGGUUUUAGAUGUAACAGAGUUUUUCGCCUCCCGUGAACCUGAGUGUAACUUUAGAUCUCUGAUUAAUCCGGAGUGCGGAAUUAGCACCAAAGGAUGGAUCUCAGUGACCAAGGUUGUUUGUCUAUGAAGGCUGCACGUUGGCAAAAACACAAAGCAGAGAGAAGUUGACUUUGAAGCGAAAACUUGCACAGAAUUAUGAACAAGAUGGGCUCCAAGUGAACAUAACACACUUAGUUCACUUGUCAACAGCCAGACUUUAAUACUAAAGAUUACAGAGUUCAGCUUUGUUGUGGCACUUCAAUACUUCAAUAUAGUGGUAGGUUUUCCACAAUCAGAAUAUUAUAUGCACUAAAGUUUGGGUUGACUUAGGAAUGUUGUCCUUUUUGAAAGAAAAGCAGUUGUUUUUUUGCAAUGAAGAUAACGUUAAAUACACAAGAAAAGUACUCAAAGAGCGCUGUACUCCACCAAGACUGAUCAGUCGUGUCAUUUCCGACGGGUGGAAUCUUGUAAAAAUUUGUGGCAGAAAUCUCGGCAACAGAGAGUGUAUCCAUUUAAUAUAGAUGUACCCACAAACAAAAUGACCUUGCACUGAGCACAGGCAUGUGUUAUGCAUGUGUACGUUGUGUACGGAUACCGAAUCGUGUGACCUGAAUUUAUAGCGGGUGGCGGGAAUUGAUGAGACUCAGAAACUCCCCCACAAUUUAAUCAAUUGUUCCUUGUAUCAUUUUUGACAAACAAGUCCCAAUAAGUCUGCAACGCAACGGUGGGCUUGUAGUAGGACCUUAGUAGGUCCUUGUGUCAUUUCUCACCCCCCCUGAAAAUUUCAUCCAAAUGUGGUAGUCCAUUUUUGAAUAAUGUUGCAAACAGACAGACAGACAGACAAACCAACGCCAAUUGCCACAUAACUCUGCUGAGGCUCCACCUCUUUGGUGGAGUAAUCAGAAAUACAGUGUAGACAUUGUUAAUGUGGUAAAUGACUAUUCUAGAUGGAAACAGCUGAUUUUUAAUGGAAUAUCUCCAUAGAGGUACAAAGGAACAUUUCCAGCAACCAUCACUCCUGUGUUCUAAUGCUACAUUGUGUUAGCUAAUGGUGUUGAAAGGCUCAUUGAUGAUUAGAAAACCCUUGUGCAGUUAUGUUAGCACAUGGAUAAAAGUGUGAGUUUUCAUGGAAAAUAACACUUACAAAUAGAGGUGACUAUGAUGAUUUAAUUUGACUGAACGGCUCAAAUUAUUAAUUUAUUACCGGUUAAUCUUCUGUCUAGCAUAUCUUGAUUCAGGAUCAUUUCUUUCUGUUAAUUGCUUCGUGUUUUUCUGCUCUUAAAAGGUGCUGAUAUUUCAGUUUUAUUGCAAAAUCUAACUUUAGGUAUUAAAAAUGAACCAAACAAGAUGUUAAAUAAAUACUUUGGGAAUUCUGUGGCUCCCUGUUGCCCAAAAAGAAUCCAUUUGCAGAAUUUUUCUUCACUAUAAUUUGACACUUACUUUACACCUCACACAGCAAUAUGGAGCCGCUGUGGCCUCAGCAUAAGGAAGUGACAGCUAAUUAAUACGGCGCUGAAGUGAAUUAAUACGGUCCCUGAAUGCACCGAACUUACUUCUAACUGUUUGGUUCAGUUUUAACACAUCAGAGUAGAAAAGUUCAGAGUGUCAUCGUCCUUUAGCGCCUGGUUAAAAACACUGUAGGAGGUGAAAUCAAAGUAAACACACCUGAACUGGCGAAGCCCUCUGAGAUGAACCUGAGCUAUUUCACCACACAAAGAAAACUGAAAGACGUUUUACUGGAGAAUCCUUGACAUCAGCUGGUUUUGAAAGGCAGAGCUUUGAGGCUUUGAUUUUUCGGUAAACAACAUAUGUGACCCCGAUCGAUGGAGCCGUCUCACCUCUGUGGACCCUGAUGUGUCCGAGGAUCGACACCGACACCUGAGGAAACCUCGUCGUAUAGAUUUGUUUUUUUAAAUAACAGGUUUUUAUAAAAAGGGAUUUCAUGGCUGGAAUAAAAAUUGGAGGAGAAAACAUCACAUCUGACCACACAGAGAGAAAGUUUUCAGUUAAAAUCUGACAGAACCUCCAUUGACCAUUAUUUUAAAAUGCUACAGUGAGGUCCACAUUCAAAACGUGUCAGAAAACACAUCAGAUAUUAAUAUUAUUUUUACUUUUUAUGGACAUCAUCAGUCCCAAUCCCAUCUAUCAUAUUUUCAUUCAUUUUCAGGAUUUUAACCCUUUAAAUGCCAGUUUGUUUACAUGAUGUCAUAGUUGUUUUUAUGGAAAAAAAAUAUAAUAAUACUAGAAAAAUUAUUCAUUUUCAACAUAGUAAGAGCUGAAUGGAGUUUCUGUGUUGAUAAUCACAGUCUGCGAGGUGUCGACACUGAUUCUGAUGCGUAAAUACUUUUUAUGUCAUUUGACAUUUGAAGAAGCUUACACUGAGGUGCUUAAGACAAAAAUAUCCCAAAUAAAACCCAUUACAACUCC
Long non-coding RNA from Acanthochromis polyacanthus (spiny chromis), 3653 nucleotides. RefSeq lists it as uncharacterized. The record is from RefSeq and is a predicted model, not a curated record. Lineage: Eukaryota; Metazoa; Chordata; Actinopteri; Pomacentridae. The transcript has 2 exons.